GAUGAACGCUGGCGGCGUGCCUAAUACAUGCAAGUCGAGCGAACAGACGAGGAGCUUGCUCCUCUGACGUUAGCGGCGGACGGGUGAGUAACACGUGGAUAACCUACCUAUAAGACUGGGAUAACUUCGGGAAACCGGAGCUAAUAGCGGAUAAUAUAUUGAACCGCAUGGUUCAAUAGUGAAAGACGGUUUUGCUGUCACUUAUAGAUUGAUCCGCGCCGCAUUAGCUAGUUGGUAAGGUAACGGCUUACCAAGGCAACGAUGCGUAGCCGACCUGAGAGGGUGAUCGGCCACACUGGAACUGAGACACGGUCCAGACUCCUACGGGAGGCAGCAGUAGGGAAUCUUCCGCAAUGGGCGAAAGCUUGACGGAGCAACGCCGCGUGAGUGAUGAAGGUCUUCGGAUCGUAAAACUCUGUUAUUAGGGAAGAACAAAUGUGUAAGUAACUAUGCACGUCUUGACGGUACCUAAUCAGAAAGCCACGGCUAACUACGUG
This 497-nucleotide ribosomal RNA is filed under the name uncultured bacterium. Its description in RNAcentral is "partial 16S ribosomal RNA". It matches the Rfam family "Bacterial small subunit ribosomal RNA", at positions 28 to 507 of the family's 1533-position model. The record is from RNAcentral.